GGUCCUGUUUGAAUUUCAGCCUUUGUCCCUUCUUUGGUUAGUGUCUAGCUGCUGAAAUAACUCUUCUUUGUCUCCCUGCAGCGGGGCCUGAGGCUACCGUCCCAAGUAUCAACAGCUCAAGAAGGAACUUGAAAAACAGUUCCCAGGCAAGCUGGAGAUCGUGACUGACUCCUCUUCUCUGCUUAGAGUGGCGAAGGGACCCCUCAGGUCACAGGAUGGUUUGAAGUGACAAUCGCAGGCAAACUGGUGCAUUCAAAAAUGAACGGGGAUGGAUUUGUGGAUAAUCGCACCAAGCUUGCCAAGAUUGUGGCAGCCAUUAAAGAGGCGUUGGCUUUGGGAUAAGAACAGCAGAAUGUAUCGGCGGCUCUGUACGUAGCACAGCUUGAUAAGCAUUUGCUUCGUUCAGCUUGGCCGAGCGCUUGAUGACGGGAGUUGCCGAAAUGUCCCCUGACGUGUGGCCAUUCCCAGAAGUUUUUGCGCAGGAUUCCGGUCUGAACAAAGGCAGAUGAGGAUCCAGCUCUGUGCUUUGGCAUGCUUUAUAUCUGUACGCAACACCCGUCUAGAGGUGAAACGGCCCCUCUAACGUGCCCUGUUAUAUCACUGUGCCAUUAAGGAGCCUCUAACUUUGAGUAAUUAUUGAGUGAGUUUCACUGUUCAACCUCAGAGAAAUCUGUCUUAGUGCUAUCACACCAACAAGCUCUUUGUCUGGGGUUGCUGGGAUGAAGGCUGUCAAGUAAGGGAGGAUCACCAUCUGGGAAUCCCAUUAGUGUAGGAAGAAGAAUUACAGCUCAUUUUCAGGUAUGGGGGGAAAUGAGCGGGAAAUGAGAAGUUUUAACAAAUGACGGAAUAGUCUGUUUUAAUUUAAAACUCAGGAUUUUUAUAAAUCCCAACAUUUUCUUAAACUGUUGUCGAAACACUUUUCCCCUCUUCUGCAGAACCUUGAUGCACUCCAGACAAAUUGCAUUGAGAUGUCCCAGCUAGGCAGUGGUGUUUGCUCACAAAAAGUAACCUCUAAAUCUUGGUAUUUCUGAAUCGUGAUAAUGCACUUCCUCCUUCAAGAAUCACUUAGUGUUGCAAAACUUUCUGGUUUUUUAAUUUUGUUGUAUGAUUAACUUUUGUUGCACUUCAGAAAGGUGUCUGUCAAAUAAAAUGAAAGUCAUAAACU
This is a non-coding RNA of Chelonoidis abingdonii (Abingdon island giant tortoise), 1165 nucleotides long. The record is from RefSeq and is a predicted model, not a curated record. Lineage: Eukaryota; Metazoa; Chordata; Testudines; Testudinidae.